UACAGAGGUCUCAAGCGUUGUUCGGAUUCAUUGGGCGUAAAGGGUGUGUAGGUGGCGCGCUAAGUCGGGUGUGAAAUUUCGGAGCUUAACUCCGAAACUGCAUUCGAUACUGGAUGGCUAGAGUCUGGUAGGGGGAUCUGGAAUUCCUGGUGUAGCGGUGGAAUGCGCAGAUAUCAGGAGGAACACCGGUGGCGAAGGCGGGAUCCUGGGCCAGUACUGACGCUGAGGAGCGAAAGCGUGGGGAGCAAACAGG
RNAcentral lists this ribosomal RNA (253 nucleotides) under uncultured bacterium. RNAcentral describes it as "partial 16S ribosomal RNA". It matches the Rfam family "Bacterial small subunit ribosomal RNA", at positions 524 to 776 of the family's 1533-position model. The record is from RNAcentral.